AUACAUGCAAGUCGAGCGCAUCCUUCGGGAUGAGCGGCGGACGGGUGAGUAACGCGUGGGAAUGUGCCCUUCUCUACGGAAUAGCCACUGGAAACGAUGAUUAAUACCGUAUACGCCCCAAGGGGGAAAGAUUUAUCGCUAAAGGAUCGGCCCGCGUUAGAUUAGGUAGUUGGUAGGGUAAUGGCCUACCAAGCCGACGAUCUAUAGCUGGUUUGAGAGGAUGAUCAGCAACACUGGGACUGAGACACGGCCCAGACUUCUACGGAAGGCAGCAGUAGGGAAUCUUGGACAAUGGGCGAAAGCCUGAUCCAGCCAUGCCGCGUGAGUGAUGAAGGCCCUAGGGUUGUAAAACUCUUUCGCCAGGGAAGAUAAUGACGGUACCUGGUAAAGAAACCCCGGCUAACUCCGUGCCAGCAGCCGCGGUAAUACGGAGGGGGUUAGCGUUGUUCGGAAUUACUGGGCGUAAAGCGCACGUAGGCGGAUUAGUAAGUCAGGGGUGAAAUCCCGAGGCUCAACCUCGGAACUGCCUUUGAUACUGCUAAUCUUGAGUUCGAGAGAGGUGAGUGGAAUUCCGAGUGUAGAGGUGAAAUUCGUAGAUAUUCGGAGGAACAUCAGUGGCGAAGGCGACUUCCUGGACCAAUACUGACACUGAGACGCGAAAGCGUGGGGAGCAAACAGGAUUAGAGACCCUGGUAGUCCACGCCGUCAACGAUGAGAACUAGCUGUUGGGACCUUGAGUCUUAGUAGCGCAGCUAACGCGAUAAGUUCUCCGCCUGGGGAGUACGGCCGCAAGGUUAAAACUCAAAUGAAUUGACGGGGACCCGCACAAGUAGUGGAGCAUGUGGUUUAAUUCGAAGAUACGCGCAGAACCUUACCAACACUUGACAUGUUCGUCGCGACUUUAAGAGAUUAAAGUUUUCGGUUCGGCCGGACGAAACACAGGUGCUGCAUGGCUGUCGUCAGCUCGUGUCGUGAGAUGUUGGGUUAAGUCCCGCAACGAGCGCAACCCUCACUUUUAGUUGCCAUCAUUUAGUUGGGCACUCUGAAAGAACUGCCAGUGAUAAGCUGGAGGAAGGUGGGGAUGACGUCAAGUCCUCAUGGCCCUUACGUGUUGGGCUACACACGUGCUACAAUGGCAUUUACAAUAGGAAGCAAGAUGGCGACAUCAAGCAAAUCCUAAAAAGAUGCCUCAGUUCGGAUUGUACUCUGCAACUCGAGUACAUGAAGCUGGAAUUACUAGUAAUCGCGGAUCAGCGCGCCGCGGUGAAUACGUUCCCGGGUCUUGUACACACCGCCCGUCACACCAUGGGAGUUGGUUCUACCUUAAGGCAAGGUUUAAAACCCUUGACCACGGUAUAGUCAGCGACUGGGGUGAAGUCAUAACAAGGUAGCCGUA
Molecule: ribosomal RNA, 1396 nt
Filed under: uncultured bacterium
Lineage: Bacteria
Description: 16S ribosomal RNA
Rfam family: Bacterial small subunit ribosomal RNA
Source: RNAcentral